GGGCCGGUAGCUCAGCGGUAGAGCAGGAGACUUUUAAUCUCUUGGUCCUGGGUUCGAUCCCCAGCCGGCUCACAA
Molecule: transfer RNA, 75 nt
Filed under: Candidatus Daviesbacteria bacterium RIFCSPLOWO2_02_FULL_36_7
Lineage: Bacteria; Candidatus Daviesiibacteriota
Description: tRNA-Lys
Rfam family: tRNA
About the family: Transfer RNA (tRNA) molecules are approximately 80 nucleotides in length.
Source: RNAcentral